CCAACACCACAGUCUUGGGCAGAAACGACGCACAUCCAGCAGUGGAGAGCAGCCCCCUUCUCCUGGCGGCGUGGAGUAUUUCAUAUGCACUGGGUUUGUGAGUUCACAUGCUGUCAGCACCCUCAGGGGUGGGAGGGUCUACAAAGUCAAACAGCCUGUGACCUUACCUGAAACCGUCAACGAGCCCACACAUUAUUUCCAACAUGGAGGGUGUCGCUGUGGACAACCUCAUCGACUUUGACUUGCCCUCAGAGGCUUCAGGCCUGUUGAGUGUAGAUGGAGGCCAACAACAAGGCCACACAGACAUUUUCUCCCCAGAGCCCAGGUCUAACAUGGGAGUUCAUCAGCAGUCCUUACUGCCAGAGCCCAUGGCACCCACCAAACCUGGCUCUCACCACCACCACCACCACCAUAACCACCAUGAGGAGGGAGACAACGAGAGUGAUGCGACAGAGUCGGCGGACAGCGAGAAUGACAUGGACCCGCCCUCUGAUACAUGGGAGCUGAGGAGGUCGUCAUCUUCAUCGGCACACAGCGGGGAGGAUGCUGACGCUGACACGGUGGAGAGGAGGAAGUUCAUGAAGGCUUACGUGGAGAAGGUGUUUCAUGGAAAGGAGGACUUUGAACAGGAGGAGCAGGCUCGGUUUGGAGAGCUGUGCAGUGGAGAGAACGGCAAAGGUCGGGAGUGGUUUGCCAAAUACGUCAGUGCACAGCGCUGCCACUCCAAAUGUGUGAGUGAAGCCACCUUCUACAGACUGGUGCAGUCCUUUGCAGUCGUGCUGUUUGAAUGUUACCAGAUGGAUGACUACACCCCAGCCAAAAACCUCAUGACUAUGUGCUUCACAUACUACUACAUAGGGAAGUCCCCGCCGUCUCCCUCAGAGCUGCUGGAUCAUGGUCCUCCUGUAGCUCUGGAUACGUACCUCUACAAGGCCAACUCCUGGCUGACUGGGAAGAAAGACGCUGCUGAGCGCCUCCUCAAAAACACAUCCAAGUCUGACGUCAAAGGUUUCUUUGGUGGCCUAGAGAGCAAGCUGAGGAGCACGGUGGUUCCAAAGAAUGAGGACAGUGAAGGAACAGUCGGGACAAAACCCACAUCACCAGUAUCCCUCACUCCAGAGGAAAAGAAAAAUGAAAAGGUGUACCUGUACACUCACCUGAAGCAGCAGCCCAUAUGGCACACAUUACGAUUUUGGAAUGCUGCGUUUUUUGAUGCUGUCCACUGUGAGAGGACGAAAAGAUCACCGACAACACGGGGGACGCAGGAUGAAGAGAAGUCUGAGAGGUCUGUCCUUCUGUUUGUCUGCUGCCCCCAAAAUCUUGUCAAAUAAAUUGAUGAAUGAAGGCAGAGAGAUGAAGAAGGACAGAGUCUUUGCAAAUUUUUCACAGAUCUUCUAAAAAUAGAAUCUGUUAUGAAGGUCCAGUGUAGUAUAUAAGAAGAUGGCUGAAUAGACUUGAGAGUGACACCGAGCUAGCUAAAUUAAAAAACAGCAUUGUGAUUGGUAGCUGCUUGGAUACAUUUAACAUAUUUAGCAUGUGUACUGCUGAAUAAGGUUUAUUUUAGUGUUUUGAGCCAUAAUUGGUGUCAAGUUGUUGAGCACAGGGUUCUAGUAUGGAUAAAAACAAACUGAUACAGCAUAACCAUUCUAAACACAGUUCAUUAAAGAUGUAAGCUUAUAGAUUUUAAUAGUAAUUUCCAGUAGAUAUGUCUUCAUGCAACCAAGCCUGGGUGUCUAACAGUUAACUCGCUUGUUCACUCAAGAGGAGGAGGGGACUCCCCCGGCGUAGGAACAAAAAAGAAAACCUCUCUCUGUUAACCUGAAGUGUGUCACCACCAUACUUACAGGCUGUUGCCAUUUUUUAUCUUAAAGUAAUGACUGAAUUAAAACAUUGUUUGGGGGUGAUCAAAAUCCACCUAGACUUGGGUGUGUAGCCUGAAUGUGUUCUCAGUUAGGCCGCUUAAAUCAAAAGGCCACAUACUACUCGAGUUAUAACACAACCAAGGAACUGCAAAAAGACAGAUGAUGGAUGCUAUGUCACUGUUUUUUGGUGUUAUGAUACGUUUGUGGAACAUACAUAGUCCACUGGGAUUGUCUAAUCCAUUGCCCUUUUAUUGUUGGAGUAGCUGGAAGCAGUGACAGCCAUUGGUCCAAUCUGUAGUUUAUAAGGCGUGGUCUAAUGAACACUGAUGGGAUGGUCUGCAAUAAUAAUAGAUAGACAAAGUGAGUGUCAGGAGUGUAGUUAGAGACACAGUUGUGUAUUAAUCAAAAGAUAUAAUCUGCUUAAUUCAAGCUGCAGAGUUAUGUCCACCUCACUAGAAUAACAAUGUGGUUUUUGUGUAAUUAUAACUGAUUAUCUGUUUUCUGUAUUCGUGCCUCAUUUGUUGCCACACUUUUCUUUGAGCUCAUAACUCCCGUUCUCUGCUGCCUUUAAUCUGUCUUCAUCUGGCUUCUGUUGGCAUGCCGUUGUGGUUGUCCAGUAGGUGAUAUGAUUCACCUUGCUAUGCUUUCAUGCUGCUGUUGAAAUGAUUUUGAGCCCAUCUUUGAUGAUUAAACGCAUCACUCCCACAGUUAAUAUCCUGAUGUGCACAGCAAAUCUUGUGUAAUGUCUGUGAUGGUGUUUAUAUCCGGAGCAGGAGACAUAGGCAGCAGAUCCACUGCAGUCUCUUCACAGCUCGCCGCAUGUUCACACCAUUAAUCUCUCUGCAUGUGAUAUUUUGUCGCCCUCAUCUGCAUGUUCCCUGUGCCGUCUCUGUUUUACUGUUCAGUACCAGCCUCUGUGUUUCACUGCAGAGUGACUGCAGAGAUGUGCAGUACAUGCCAUGUGUAGAAUAUGCACAUUUAAAGAAUUGAACGCAGCGAUUUCUGAUGUACCACUCUGCAUUUUUGGUCUCUUUUGGAGAUUAAUUUCCCUUUCAUUUCUACCUAUAAAUAUAAAUAUGCCAUAGGUUCAUUAGGUAUUAUAAACUGAGAUUAUUUAUAAUGAAUUUGAGCAAGAUUAGCUUCAUAUACUGUAUUUGAGAAUUGUAUUUCCUCAGUUAUUUUAUGAUGUUAUGGUCCCAAUCUUGGGUUUAUAAGUCUUCUUUAAUACAUCAUGACUUCCAUUUUGUAGGUGAUGGUACCAUUUCAAGUUAAGAAAAAGCUGGACAGAUUGGAUGAUUUGCUGACGUCCUCUACAUUAUUAAUUACUACCUUGAAAAUCUUAAUAAUAACCUCAACAGUCUACAUACAGCUGUCUAAGAGGCACUAAGAGAGUAAGCUGUUCAUCACUAAACAAAAACAAAACUAGCAUCUCAUUUGGCUUAACCUUACCAAGUCCGAGCUAGCAUUAGCAUCCGAUAACCUCUGAUUUCUCUCCAGCAUCACACUCUCAUCCACAUUUGGUCACUUUGUGCUUCAGAUGGCAUAAAAAUAGCGGCCCAUUAAACUAGUGGAUGAUGUCACUGUACUUUUGACCAGCACACAAGUCCUCCAGCACCAAGCUCCUGUGAGCUGUCUAUUUAUCAGUCCAACAGACACAGAGCAGCAGCAUCCAUUAGAGUUAUUACUGAGGUUCUCUCUUCCUAAUGCCUCUUUCAACUUAGAAGGUAAUAUUUAUAACAACAAACAGAUAUCAUGAGAUUAAAAUGUAACACUAAAGCAAGUCUUCAGAUUACAGUUUAAGGAUCCUCCAGCUGAUGAAGACAUGGUACUAACUUAAAUGGUUCAGAACAGCUCUGUCUUUGAAGUGGAUGCCAUUCACAAAAAGGUUUCAUAAUUUACAGUUAAUCCAAUGAGAAGGUGAUAAUACUGGUUGUUACCUCUUCAUAAACUUCAUAAUAAUUGUACUAAUAGUGUGUUGAAGAUGUUGUCUUUAGUUGCAAAGAUGCAGCAGCUUUAGCUACAUAUCCAGCAGCAACUACUGUAUGAUAUGGUGAGUUUUGCAAAUCUUCCCCCUCCCAAGUGAGUGAGACAAGGCGUGCCUUUAUGUUGUUUUUUUUAAACCUGAAGAUACUGCAUCAUCACUAACACUCUUUCUGCAUGUAGAUAUUAAAGUUCAGGACAGUGUCAUACCAGAUCAAUGCUUUUCAUCUGCCUGUUAACAAUGAUGAUUCUUUGUGAAUUAAUCAUUUGUUGUUUUAUUCUUUUGCUGAAAGCUGGUUAACGUGUUUCUUGACCUUUGAUGUUGUUUUAUGUGCUUUAUGUGUGAUGUAUUCUCUAUUUGCAUCUCGUUACGAUAAUCAGAGGCAAAGGGGUGGAUGUCAUGGAUUUCUUUCUGUGGCAGAGAUGGUAUUUGACCCAAUAAAGGUCUGAAAAUGAGGAGGGUGUGCCACAUGUGAACAACUUAUUUGAGUUUCGACUUAAAGUCAGAAUUUAAAGUCCCACUUUAGACAGUUAGUACUAUUUCAUUUCUUUCUCAGAUAAAGAACUGGAUUUCAAUUAUAAGAGGACGUUUUCACCCCCAAAUUAUCAUUCUAGCAUUCAGUCACUAAACAAAGUUAGAUGAAGGGAUUAUUCAGCACUUUUGUCUUAUUUUCUGUGGAUAGUGGCCCCUGGCACUCCACUGUAAUCCUGCCAUGUCUCUGAUUUCAGAGUUCUGGCUGGAGUCAUAGUAAUUAAAUACCCAGGUACCGAUGUAACCACAAACCCUCCCCUGAUGAGUCCAGCUCCAAGUCCAGUGCUGACUGAACUUAACAGAUAACAGCAAAGAGGAAACAUUUGGCCAUCAGACAACUCUUCAAAUCACAGUGACACUUCAGGGACAUCGGAGUGAAAACAAGAAAUAUUUCACUCAAAAAGUGGAUCCAGUUUUACUAACAUAACUGAGCAGAGUAGUAAAUUGUGUUUACCAGUCAAUAGUGAGGCUUAAAUACCAUGUUUUGAAAUGGACUUUGAUCUAAGCCCAACAGGAGUGUCAAAUCAUGACUGUUCCCCUGCACUGACUUUGAUGGUGAUGGUAACUUGCAGCUUCUGCUACAGUCAUGCAAUAUCAAAACAUUACAUUUAAGUAUUAGAUUGUUAUUUUUAAAAAACUACUCAGAAAGAAUGAAUUAUAGUAUGCACAAAAUCCACAUUAAUCUGGCUAUGAAAUGAAAACUCUGGCUCUGAAAUCAAAACUCAAAGAUAUUUUCCACACCUAAAAGAAGAUCUCCACAUGUGGCCCCAAGCUUCUCUUUUUGAUGAAAGGUCAAAUAUCUUACUGUCAACAUUUUACAGAUGAAUGUAAAACAAGUUACCUGUCUGUUGUGCUGCUGCAUAAGUCAGUAUGACACUGAUAUUGACACCCACCCCUGGCCUGUUUCAGUCGAGCUGAAGGUCAGAUGGAGACUAAAGGAUCAAAUCUGACUCAGAGUGUCUCUGUGCUGCAGGGAGAGGUGGUGUCAUAUGACCCAGGAGGAGAGGGACGACAGCUCCAAAAUCGAUGAGAACAUCGCCUUCGGCCAACUGGGGACAUUCACCCACAACAUGCUGGCGUUUGGGCUCAGCAAGAAGCUCUGCAAUGACUUCCUGAAGAAGCAGGCUGUCAUUGGCAACCUGAAUGAAGAGCAGUACAAGUUGCUGACCGACCACAUUGAGAAAAUGGCGGCAGAGUGAGUUUGAGGAGGACAAACUGCAUUCAAAGACUGACAGCAAACACACACAUCAGCGACUUGUUUCCAGCUCAAUAUUCUAACAACCAAACCGCCUGUUCUUCCGUCGUUGCAUUUGUGUGGUGCACUGCUGAAAAACAAACACACAGUGAUGGACUGUGUCAUACUGUAGCAAACCUAACCUGGUAGUUCUCCUCUGCACUCGUCCUAUAUCAGCAAUAACAAAACAUCUCUAUCUGGUGUGUGCUAUGAUAUGAGUAACACCUUUGUUAGUGAGCUGCCUCACAAAGACAAGACGCAUAAAGGGAAAUCAUCCAGUGUGACUGUAAACAGCCUCAGUGUGGAGUCAGUCUCUCUGGGUGUGUGUAGGUUAUAUAUCCUCUGUGCUGUGCCACUCUGUGUUUCCUUGGCAGCCAUAUUUAUUACAUGUAACGUGCAUAACAGCAUCUGUUUGAACAGCGUGUAAGAGUACUCAUUGUCCUGCCUUGUUGUAUAUUUUUUUAUAAAUGUGUAUUUAUAGUUGAACCGUAGUGAAUGGCAAUAGUAACUCAGUAUUUGAAUCUGCUUCAAUAUCAGUGUCAGAUCAGAAUAACAGAUGAGUUAAUUACUGCUCAUUCUCUUAUGCUUGUCGGUGUUAUCAGUAGUGUCCUAUUAGACGACAAGCACAAUUAUGUGAGUGUGUGACAUGUCAUUUAACAGCAGCAUUUAAAACAGCUAAAUCAUUAACCCCCAACACCUCUUUCUACAGCGAAGGAAUUACAUUGUGAGAUAUGAAUUUAUUUACUUUCAUGCAGAGGAUGAACCAAGGAUACAUCCAGCUAGGGUCUGUAUACUAAAUAGGAAGCUACAGCAAGGAGACAGCUUGCCUAGCUGAGCAUAAGGCUUGAAAUAAGGGGAGAGAAACUGCAAAUCUGGCUCAGUCCAAAGGUAGAAAUCCAUUUGACAGUACCCCUGUAGCCCCUCGUUCCCAUGAAUUUUGUUAGUUUAAUUAGUACAAAUGAGUUAAGAUUGCAAACCGUGGAUGCUGGCAGCAUUGGUUGCAUGAUAAAACCAAUUUAAUGUGUUUAUGGGAUAUCAUUUUGAUUUCUUGUUCCCAAUUUGGCAAUAUUUUCCAGCUCAUCUGGUCUGAUUGCUGCCGUGGAAUGUACAAUUCAACUGUCACUAAGUAAGUAAACUGCUUUAACUGAGGAUACAUCCAAGACAUGUCAUAUUUGUUUAUCUACUACACCUAAAGGGUCUUUUAACUGCUUGUCACAUGGGCAGAAAUGUUCCUUCGGGCCUAAUGAGGAUGAUGAUACCAAGUUUUAAUGCAGCAGAUUCUAAUAACCUGCAAAUUUAUUCAUAUGUUUAAAACAGCAGUGUAUGAUCGGGAUUAGAGAGCUUCAGGUUGUUGUUUAGUAGGCAUUCAUAUUUAGGACAGGCUGUUUGCCCCUACCUCCUUUAUGCUAGCUUAACAUUUGCCUGCCACAACUUGUUAAACAUACGAUGGUUUUAAUCGUCUCGUUAAACUCUGGGAAGAAAUAAAAGCAGCAAAGUCUUCCAACAAAUCUUCCCCAGAUUUCUUUUCCAUUCUACUGUGGCCCAUAUUCAAAAUCCAGUUGUACUAUUUUAGUUUUUUAUUGAGAACCUUUGUUAUACAAUUUGAAACAUUAUUCAUCCAAAGUGCCUUCCAUUAAAGUAGCUGUCUUGUCUUUGUCUUUUGAAGCUACCCUCCAAUACUCGUCUUAAUGCUAAUGCAGAGCUUGCAGAUGCCACUCUUUUUUUUAACCCCUGGUACAUAAACAAGUCCUGCAUGCAUUGAAGUCUUGCUAUCUGUGUUUUUAAUGUUGAACUUAAGUGAUUGUUCCUUUGAAGUCCAUGUACAUUUACUGUGUAUUGCAUGUGCAACCAGCAUCAAGCAAACUUAAAGUGAGUGACUGAACUGUGAAGUGAUUUGUGCUACUUCAUCCUACCACUGUGGGGCAGCAUUGUGUCUUCAUUCAAAGCACUUCUCACAGACAGAAUCCUCAAUCCAUAAACAAAACUUCUGAACGAUAUGAAGGAAACAUUGUUCUGUGAUUUCUCAAUGGUUAACUCCAUUUGAUGCACUUUCUGACAGGUUGAAUCUCAAUUCAGAUUGAUAAUCUGUUUUAAUCUACCGUCCCCGAUGAAGCCAUUUUGUAAAUAGUGUACAUGUUUCUUUGUGUGUUGUGAGACUUGAUCUCCUGCUGUGUUCGUGGACUGUAGAUCUUUAAUUGUAAAUGUGCGUGAUAGCUGUAAUAGUGCAUUGCAGUCAUUCCAAAUAGGAACCAAGUAUCCAGCUGUUGUUAUGACCUGAAGUGCUCCUGAACAUUUAGCCUCUGUUUGAUGUGGCCAUUAAAAGUAUGUAUAUUGUGUUGUGACAUUAUUUUAAAUGUACAGUAAAUGACGCCAUGAUUUGAAAGCCAUGCAAACCUCUGUAUCCUUCUGUCUUUAAUGACUCUGUUAUUUUCUCAUAGUGUCUCUGCAUGUGGUUCAAGUCUGUUUCUAAAACUGAACUGAAACAUUUUCGUAGACUUCUUAGGCCAUUGUGCUUUCUCUGAUGAAAUAUCAACCUAUACUAUGUUGGACUUGUUAGCUCAGCAUGAGCCAUUUGCACUACAUUUAGCCCAUUCUCUCUGAAUAAUAUCACAUAUUUCCCGUUUGUUCAGUGCAUGCUGUCUCUCUACAUUGGACAUAUCUGUUGUGAAUCGUUGACCGAAGUUUGUCUUUAUCGACUGGUUGUAAACAACUUUUCAACCAUACUGACUUUGUGUUAAGUAUCAACAAAGUGGAGUUCAUCAUUAAAGUACUAUAUUACAUUUUG
Molecule: RNA transcript, 8393 nt
Organism: Notolabrus celidotus (New Zealand spotty)
Lineage: Eukaryota; Metazoa; Chordata; Actinopteri; Labriformes; Labridae
Gene name: KIAA0513 ortholog
Exons: 12
Source: RefSeq, a predicted model, not a curated record